UUUCAAGUGAAAAAUUGUUGAAGAGCAAUUUUUAUUGCUUAAUUCAUACAAAUAUAUUGGUUAAUGAGGAAGAACAAAUUUUACCCAAAUUCCUAAAUUAUCUGAAAAAGUGAGCAGAAUUUGGCAGAUUGUUUCUAACGAAACUAAUCAUGGAUAUUUUUAAGUCAUUACUUUCAAAACCAACAGAUAAUAAUGAUGUGGCCUAUUGUUGAAGAAUAUGAGCAGGUAUUCAUACAAAUAUGGCGAUAGAGAGCUUGAAUAAAUAUCCGAAAUCUAAUAAAAUAGAAGGAAAAGAAAAUAAGAGUUGACAAGCUAUCAGAUUUGUUGGAAGAAAUAGUUGAUGAAAAGAUGUGGAUGAAAAUUAUGAGAAAUGAAAGACCUAACUCCAACAACUAUCAACAAAAAAUUUCUGUAGAAUCUCAUAAAAAAGCAGAAACAUGAAAGACUUAAUAGAGGAGGUCUGUAUAUGAUGAUAAAUAUUAUAAUACACAAUUUAUAUCAUCAUGUGAUCCAGAUUGUGGUUUAGGAUAUUGUAGUCAUUAUUAAAUAUGCUUGCACAAAUAUAAAUAAUAAAUUCUGUUUAAGAUGACGACAACAAUUUAGAAAUUAAUGAGCCAUCAACAAGUUAACUAUAAUGAAGAUGGGGGACAUUUUAUAGAUGAAACCAUUUCUAGUUCACAAAAUUUCACAUCUAUAAGCAAUGACACAGAAAAUGAUUUGCUGAAAUGUGUAAAACAAUUGAAGACUCUCAAUGCAGAAGGAAAGAGGAGAUUAUUUGCAACUAUCAAUGGAAAAUUUUCCAAACAUAGGGUCAAUGCCAAGAAGAACUAACAUCUAAGAAGUGAAAAUUGAGAAGCAAAUCUAUUUCCCAAGAAAAAAAUGAAUACAGAGACUACCAGAACUUCAUAGCAAAUAAUUUAGAACAUUGAAAUGAGAUUGACAAAAAAAUCGAGGUAAUAAAUUCUAACUGAACCAGCAUGUUACACAUAUAAGAGACGUACAAUGUUCAAAUGUGGAUAGAAGAACCAGUCAAUAUCAAAAUAAAAUAUGACAUACAUCCUUUACAUAAAUCAAUGAAAUUAAUUAUAAUUAAUAUAAUAUAAUUAUAUAUAAUUUUGAACAA
This is a long non-coding RNA of Harmonia axyridis, 1123 nucleotides long. RefSeq lists it as uncharacterized. The transcript is spliced from 5 exons. NCBI's taxonomy places the organism in Eukaryota, Metazoa, Arthropoda, Insecta, Coleoptera, Coccinellidae. The record is from RefSeq and is a predicted model, not a curated record.